RNAcentral lists this ribosomal RNA (253 nucleotides) under uncultured bacterium. Its description in RNAcentral is "partial 16S ribosomal RNA". It matches the Rfam family "Bacterial small subunit ribosomal RNA", at positions 524 to 776 of the family's 1533-position model. The record is from RNAcentral.
UACGUAGGGUGCAAGCGUUAAUCGGAAUUACUGGGCGUAAAGCGUGCGCAGGCGGUUUUGUAAGUCUGUCGUGAAAUCCCCGGGCUCAACCUGGGAAUUGCGAUGGAGACUGCAAGGCUAGAAUCUGGUAGAGGGGGGUAGAAUUCCACGUGUAGCAGUGAAAUGCGUAGAGAUGUGGAGGAACACCGAUGGCGAAGGCAGCCCCCUGGGUCAAGAUUGACGCUCAUGCACGAAAGCGUGGGGAGCAAACAGG